Long non-coding RNA from Vigna umbellata (rice bean), 303 nucleotides. RefSeq lists it as uncharacterized. The record is from RefSeq and is a predicted model, not a curated record. Lineage: Eukaryota; Viridiplantae; Streptophyta; Magnoliopsida; Fabales; Fabaceae.
AUUUCUUAUUACUUGUGAUGUUUGCUCAUUUAUAUGUUCAGGAUCUGUAAGGAUGCCAGCAUCUCUUUGCGGUGUUGUUGGUCUAAAACCAACUUUUGCACGUAUACCACAUGAUGGAGUUCUUCCCCUAAAUUGGACAGUUGGAAUGGUUGGAAUACUAGCAGGCACAGUUGAGGAUGCAUUGAUUGUUUAUGCAGCUAUCAGUGGUGAAAUUCCAUAUCAGAAGAUUUUCAGUGUAUUGGUAAGAUCGUUUUUCAAAUUAAUGAUUUUUUACCAUCGAUUACUCUGUCCAUGUUUAUAAUA